CUAUUAUGGAGAGUUUGAUCCUGGCUCAGGACGAACGCUGGCGGCGUGCCUAAUACAUGCAAGUCGAACGGACUUUACAUAGAAGUUAGCUUCUAGCUUUGGUUAGUGGCGGACGGGUGAGUAACACGUAGGCAACCUGCCCACAAGAUCGGGAUAACAUUCGGAAACGAAUGCUAAGACCGGAUGCACAAGUUUGCCGCAUGGCGAGCUUGGGAAACACGGUGUAAGCUGUGGCUUGUGGAUGGGCCUGCGGCGCAUUAGCUAGUUGGUGGGGUAAUGGCUCACCAAGGCGACGAUGCGUAGCCGACCUGAGAGGGUGA
This 320-nucleotide ribosomal RNA is filed under the name Cohnella lupini. RNAcentral describes it as "bacterial SSU rRNA". It matches the Rfam family "Bacterial small subunit ribosomal RNA", at positions 1 to 303 of the family's 1533-position model. The record is from RNAcentral. Lineage: Bacteria; Bacillati; Bacillota; Bacilli; Caryophanales; Paenibacillaceae.